GGCAGCAGUGGGGAAUAUUGGACAAUGGGCGAAAGCCUGAUCCAGCCAUGCCGCGUGUGUGAAGAAGGUCUUCGGAUUGUAAAGCACUUUAAGUUGGGAGGAAGGGCAGUAAGUUAAUACCUUGCUGUUUUGACGUUACCGACAGAAUAAGCACCGGCUAACUUCGUGCCAGCAGCCGCG
RNAcentral lists this ribosomal RNA (180 nucleotides) under BTEX-degrading bacterium enrichment culture. RNAcentral's name for it is "partial 16S ribosomal RNA". It matches the Rfam family "Bacterial small subunit ribosomal RNA", at positions 347 to 519 of the family's 1533-position model. The record is from RNAcentral.